RNAcentral lists this microRNA precursor (52 nucleotides) under Ciona intestinalis (vase tunicate). RNAcentral describes it as "miRNA (ENSCING00000023478.1)". Lineage: Eukaryota; Metazoa; Chordata; Ascidiacea; Phlebobranchia; Cionidae. The record is from RNAcentral.
CAUCUUACCCCACCCUGCUAUAUAUAUAGUAGGGUGGGGGAAGAUGGGACAC